GAUGAACGCUAGCUACAGGCUUAACACAUGCAAGUCGAGGGGAAACGGCAUCGAAAGCUUGCUUUUGAUGGGCGUCGACCGGCGCACGGGUGAGUAACGCGUAUCCAACCUGCCCAUCACUUGGGAAUAACCUUGCGAAAGUAAGACUAAUGCCCAAUGACAUCCCACGAGGGCAUCCGAAUGGGAUUAAAGAUUUAUCGGUGAUGGAUGGGGAUGCGUCUGAUUAGCUUGUUGGCGGGGUGACGGCCCACCAAGGCAACGAUCAGUAGGGGUUCUGAGAGGAAGGUCCCCCACAUUGGAACUGAGACACGGUCCAAACUCCUACGGGAGGCAGCAGUGAGGAAUAUUGGGCAAGGGGCGAGGGCCUGAACCAGCCAAGUAGCGUGCAGGAUGACGGCCCUAUGGGUUGUAAACUGCUUUUAUAAGGGAAUAAAGUGGGUCACGUGUGACUUUUUGCAUGUACCUUAUGAAUAAGGACCGGCUAAUUCCGUG
RNAcentral lists this ribosomal RNA (492 nucleotides) under uncultured bacterium. RNAcentral describes it as "partial 16S ribosomal RNA". It matches the Rfam family "Bacterial small subunit ribosomal RNA", at positions 28 to 507 of the family's 1533-position model. The record is from RNAcentral.